UAGGGAAUCUUCCACAAUGGGCGAAAGCCUGAUGGAGCAACGCCGCGUGUGUGAUGAAGGCUUUCGGGUCGUAAAGCACUGUUGUAUGGGAAGAGCAGCUAGAAUAGGAAAUGAUUUUAGUUUGACGGUACCAUACCAGAAAGGGACGGCUAAAUACGUGCCAA
Molecule: ribosomal RNA, 164 nt
Filed under: uncultured bacterium
Lineage: Bacteria
Description: partial 16S rRNA
Rfam family: Bacterial small subunit ribosomal RNA
Source: RNAcentral